RNAcentral lists this ribosomal RNA (486 nucleotides) under uncultured bacterium. RNAcentral's name for it is "partial 16S ribosomal RNA". The record is from RNAcentral.
GUAGUUAGCCGGGGCUUCCUUGUGGAUUACCGUCACUUCCUUCGUCAUCCACGAUAGAGGUUUACAAUCCGAAAACCUUCUUCCCUCACGCGGCGUUGCUGGGUCAGGGUUUCCCCCAUUGCCCAAUAUUCCCCACUGCUGCCUCCCGUAGGAGUUUGGACCGUGUCUCAGUUCCAGUGUGGCCGAUCAGCCUCUCAGCUCGGCUACCCAUCGUCGACUUGGUGGGCCGUUACCCCGCCAACUAUCUAAUGGGACGCGAACCCCUCCUUCUGCGGAUUGCUCCUUUGACCUCUCUGCCAUGCGACAGUGUGGUCUUAUGCGGUAUUAGCACUUGUUUCCAGGUGUUAUCCCCCUCAAAAGGUCAGGUUGUUCACGCGUUACUCACCCGUUCGCCACUAGAUGUAAAACCGAAAUCUUACAUCCCGUUCGACUUGCAUGUGUUAGGCACGCCGCCAGCGUUCGUCCUGAGCCAGGAUCAAACUCUGA